UGGGGAAUUUUGGACAAUGGGCGAAAGCCUGAUCCAGCAAUGCCGCGUGUGUGAAGAAGGCCUUCGGGUUGUAAAGCACUUUUGUCCGGAAAGAAAUCCUUGGCUCUAAUACAGUCGGGGGAUGACGGUACCGGAAGAAUAAGCACCGGCUAACUACGUGCCAGCAGCCGCGGUAAUACGUAGGGUGCAAGCGUUAAUCGGAAUUACUGGGCGUAAAGCGUGCGCAGGCGGUUUGCUAAGACCGAUGUGAAAUCCCCGGGCUCAACCUGGGAACUGCAUUGGUGACUGGCAGGCUAGAGUAUGGCAGAGGGGGGUAGAAUUCCACGUNUAGCAGUGAAAUGCGUAGAGAUGUGGAGGAAUACCGAUGGCGAGGCAGCCCCCUGGGCAAUACUGACGCUCAUGCACGAAAGCGUGGGGAGCAAACAGGAUUAGAUACCCUGGUAGUCCACGCCCUAAACGAUGUCAACUAGUUGUUGGGGAUCAUUUCCUUAGUAACGUAGCUAACGCGUGAAGUUGACCGCCUGGGGAGUACGUCGCAAGAUUAAAACUCAAAGGAAUUGACGGGGUCAUAGCUG
RNAcentral lists this ribosomal RNA (575 nucleotides) under uncultured bacterium. Its description in RNAcentral is "partial 16S ribosomal RNA". It matches the Rfam family "Bacterial small subunit ribosomal RNA", at positions 355 to 932 of the family's 1533-position model. The record is from RNAcentral.